GCAUCAGUGGCUCAGUGGUAGAAUGCUCGCCUGCCACGCGGGCGGCCCGGGUUCGAUACCCGGCCGAUGCA
RNAcentral lists this transfer RNA (71 nucleotides) under Cordylochernes scorpioides. Its description in RNAcentral is "tRNA-Gly". It matches the Rfam family "tRNA". From Rfam's summary of the family: Transfer RNA (tRNA) molecules are approximately 80 nucleotides in length. Their secondary structure includes four short double-helical elements and three loops (D, anti-codon, and T loops). The record is from RNAcentral. Lineage: Eukaryota; Metazoa; Arthropoda; Arachnida; Pseudoscorpiones; Chernetidae.